RNAcentral lists this ribosomal RNA (301 nucleotides) under uncultured bacterium. RNAcentral's name for it is "partial 16S ribosomal RNA". It matches the Rfam family "Bacterial small subunit ribosomal RNA", at positions 509 to 809 of the family's 1533-position model. The record is from RNAcentral.
CAGUAGCCGCGGUAAUACGUAGGUGGCAAGCGUUGUCCGGAAUUAUUGGGCGUAAAGGGCUCGCAGGCGGUUUCUUAAGUCUGAUGUGAAAGCCCCCGGCUCAACCGGGGAGGGUCAUUGGAAACUGGGAAACUUGAGUGCAGAAGAGGAGAGUGGAAUUCCACGUGUAGCGGUGAAAUGCGUAGAGAUGUGGAGGAACACCAGUGGCGAAGGCGACUCUCUGGUCUGUAACUGACGCUGAGGAGCGAAAGCGUGGGGAGCGAACAGGAUUAGAUACCCCAGUAGCCCUGUCUCUUAUACA